RNAcentral lists this ribosomal RNA (253 nucleotides) under uncultured bacterium. RNAcentral's name for it is "partial 16S ribosomal RNA". It matches the Rfam family "Bacterial small subunit ribosomal RNA", at positions 524 to 776 of the family's 1533-position model. The record is from RNAcentral.
UACAGAGGGUGCAAGCGUUGUUCGGAAUUAUUGGGCGUAAAGCGCGUGUAGGCGGCUUUGCAAGUCGGGUGUGAAAGCCCUCAGCUCAACUGAGGAAGUGCGCCCGAAACUGCAGAGCUUGAGUACCGGAGAGGGUGGCGGAAUUCCCCAAGUAGAGGUGAAAUUCGUAGAUAUCGGGAGGAACACCAGUGGCGAAGGCGGCGACCUGGGCCAAUAUUGACGCUGAGGUGCGAAAGCGUGGGGAGCAAACAGG